UACGUAGGGGGCGAGCGUUGUUCGGAUUUACUGGGCGUAAAGAGCGCGUAGGCGGUUCGAUUAGUCGGAGGUGAAAUUCCUCGGCUUAACCGAGGACCCGUGUCCGAUACUGUUGAACUUGAGUGCAGGAGAGGAGAGCGGAAUUCCCAGUGUAGCGGUGAAAUGCGUAGAUACUGGGAGGAACACCGGUGGCGAAGGCGGCUCUCUGGACUGUCACUGACGCUGAGGCGCGAAAGCUAGGGGAGCAAACAGG
RNAcentral lists this ribosomal RNA (253 nucleotides) under uncultured bacterium. Its description in RNAcentral is "partial 16S ribosomal RNA". It matches the Rfam family "Bacterial small subunit ribosomal RNA", at positions 524 to 776 of the family's 1533-position model. The record is from RNAcentral.